AUUGAACGCUGGCGGCAGGCCUAACACAUGCAAGUCGAGCGGAUGAAGGGAGCUUGCUCCUGGAUUCAGCGGCGGACGGGUGAGUAAUGCCUAGGAAUCUGCCUGGUAGUGGGGGAUAACGUCCGGAAACGGGCGCUAAUACCGCAUACGUCCUGAGGGAGAAAGUGGGGGAUCUUCGGACCUCACGCUAUCAGAUGAGCCUAGGUCGGAUUAGCUAGUUGGUGGGGUAAAGGCCUACCAAGGCGACGAUCCGUAACUGGUCUGAGAGGAUGAUCAGUCACACUGGAACUGAGACACGGUCCAGGCUCCUACGGGAGGCAGCAGUGGGGAAUAUUGGACAAUGGGCGAAAGCCUGAUCCAGCCAUGCCGCGUGUGUGAAGAAGGUCUUCGGAUUGUAAAGCACCUUAAGUUGGGAGGAAGGGCAGUAAGUUAAUACCUUGCUGUUUUGACGUUACCAACAGAAUAAGCACCGGCUAACUUCGUG
Molecule: ribosomal RNA, 484 nt
Filed under: uncultured bacterium
Lineage: Bacteria
Description: partial 16S ribosomal RNA
Rfam family: Bacterial small subunit ribosomal RNA
Source: RNAcentral